UAAGAGCUCGUAGGCGGUUUGUCGCGUCUGCCGUGAAAGUCCGGGGCUCAACUCCGGAUCUGCGGUGGGUACGGGCAGACUAGAGUGAUGUAGGGGAGACUGGAAUUCCUGGUGUAGCGGUGAAAUGCGCAGAUAUCAGGAGGAACACCGAUGGCGAAGGCAGGUCUCUGGGCAUUAACUGACGCUGAGGAGCGAAAGCAUGGGGAGCGAACAGGAUUAGAUACCCUGGUAGUCCAUGCCGUAAACGUUGGGCACUAGGUGUGGGGGACAUUCCACGUUUUCCGCGCCGUAGCUAACGCAUUAAGUGCCCCGCCUGGGGAGUACGGCCGCAAGGCUAAAACUCAAAGGAAUUGACGGGGGCCCGCACAAGCGGCGGAGCAUGCGGAUUAAUUCGAUGCAACGCGAAGAACCUUACCAAGGCUUGACAUGAACCGGUAAUACCUGGAGACAGGUGCCCCGCUUGCGGUCGGUUUACAGGUGGUGCAUGGUUGUCGUCAGCUCGUGUCGUGAGAUGUUGGGUUAAGUCCCGCAACGAGCGCAACCCUCGUUCUAUGUUGCCAGCACGUGAUGGUGGGGACUCAUAGGAGACUGCCGGGGUCAACUCGGAGGAAGGUGGGGACGACGUCAAAUCAUCAUGCCCCUUAUGUCUUGGGCUUCACGCAUGCUACAAUGGCCGGUACAAAGGGUUGCGAUACUGUGAGGUGGAGCUAAUCCCAAAAAGCCGGUCUCAGUUCGGAUUGGGGUCUGCAACUCGACCCCAUGAAGUCGGAGUCGCUAGUAAUCGCAGAUCAGCAACGCUGCGGUGAAUACGUUCCCGGGCCUUGUACACACCGCCCGUCAAGUCACGAAAGUUGGUAACACCCGAAGCCGGUGGCUAACCCCUUGUGGGAGGGAGCUGUCGAAGUGGGACUGGCGAUUGGGAC
This 923-nucleotide ribosomal RNA is filed under the name Pseudarthrobacter sp. Its description in RNAcentral is "bacterial SSU rRNA". It matches the Rfam family "Bacterial small subunit ribosomal RNA", at positions 562 to 1481 of the family's 1533-position model. The record is from RNAcentral. Lineage: Bacteria; Bacillati; Actinomycetota; Actinomycetes; Micrococcales; Micrococcaceae.